Long non-coding RNA from Eriocheir sinensis (Chinese mitten crab), 1342 nucleotides. RefSeq lists it as uncharacterized. The transcript is spliced from 2 exons. The record is from RefSeq and is a predicted model, not a curated record. Lineage: Eukaryota; Metazoa; Arthropoda; Malacostraca; Decapoda; Varunidae.
GAGAGUUUCAAUAAUAUCAUCUUACAUAUUAAUUUCAAGCAUGAUUUGUAUUUAAAUCUCUUAAUUUCCGUUCUAUAUAAUAUUAAGUUCAGGUUUGAUGUUCUGAGAGUUUCAAUAAUAUCAUCUUACAUAUUAAUUUCAAGCAUGAUUUGUAUUUGAAUCUGUCUUAAUUUCCAUUCUAUAUAAUAUUAAGUCCAGGUUUGAUGUUCUGAGAGUUACAGUAAUAUCAUCUUCCAUAUUAAUUUCAAGCAUGAUUUGUAUUUGAAUCUGUCUUAAUUUCCAUUCUAUAUAAUAUUAAGUUCAGGUUUGAUGUGGUGAGAGUUACAAUCAUAUCUUACAUAUUAAUUUCAAGCAUGAUUUGUAUUUGAAUCUGUCUUAAUUUCCGUUCUAUAUAAUGUUGAGUUCAGGUCUGAUGUGCUGAAAGUUACAAUCAUAUCUUACAUAUUAAUUUCAGGCACAAUUUGUAUUUGAAUCUGUCUUAAUUUCCAUUCUAUAUAACAUUAAGUUCAGGUCUGAUGUGCUGAGAGUUACAAUCAUAUCAUCUUUCAUAUUAAGUACAAAUACAAUCGAGUCAUUGAUUUUAUAUUUGAAACUCUUAAUUUCUGUUCCAUAUAAAAUUAAGUUGGUUUGAUGUGCCGAGUGUGUUCCGGUGUUAAGACAAUGAACAAGUAUCUUAGGGCAAUAAUCUUAGCAAUAACAAAGAGCUGCAUAAUCCUAGAGGCUUCCACACUGGUUAUAGAGGCUUGAAUUACAUAUAGUGAUUAUACAUAUACUUAUCAUUCUACUUAUAAAUACCCUCUCAGUCGUAAUAUCUGAUUGAAUAAUGUUAAGGCCUCUCGCACUUCAUAUAGUUGUUUUUUUACGAUAUUUCGCUUUACAAUUGACAUUCUUUUACUGUCUGCUCUAGUUACGAUAACCGAGAGAGCCCGGGCGGAGUGGAAAAAUUUGGGCGGCUUUUCCGAUACCCUACGCCCCUGUCCACCCAGCAGUGAAUGGGUACCAGGUAUUAAUCAAGGGUUGUGUCCCGUCUCCUGGGGUCUGUUCCCUUCUAUAAUUCCUUCCCCCUCCUGUCUCUCUCCGACAUAUGACCACAGAUGUUGCGCCGACUAAACCAAACUUUUUAACUUUCACUGAUAAACAAACUUCAGUUGAUCUGAACAGGAGUAGACCAGAUGAUGUUUAGAUUAUCAGGAUUUUAAUGUACGAUUUUUAUGCUUGUUUGUUUUGCUUUGUGUGUGUGUGUAGUCAUUCUGUUUAAAAUGGUCAUACAUCUUUUAUUGUUAAGUAUAAUAAGAUUUUUUAUAUAAGUUUUAUCAGGAAUUAAAGCAGUAAGUCAAAGCUU